This is a long non-coding RNA of Eucalyptus grandis, 567 nucleotides long. RefSeq lists it as uncharacterized. The record is from RefSeq and is a predicted model, not a curated record. Lineage: Eukaryota; Viridiplantae; Streptophyta; Magnoliopsida; Myrtales; Myrtaceae. The transcript has 2 exons.
GCAUGCCAGCGAACGAAGAUUCCACAUGCCAUAUCUUAUGACUUGAGCAGCCGCCGCCGAGAGUCCAUCGCUGGCCACCACACGACAUGGCACGCUGAUAAGGGACAAAGAAUAGAGAGCAUUGAUCGAAGGCUCUCAGUGAUUUCAAUUGAAUCCUUUCCUCUCACUUCGCUGCUGGUCGUCACCGCUUCCCAAUCACCACCCGUUCCGCUGCCGCGAAGAAGUUCUGUAAUGCCGGAGUGCUCGAACUUCAAUCAUGGCUGCCUGCUUCGACGAUUCCUUGAUGUUGCUUCUGUUAUCUCCUUACUUAUGUCCGAAGUCAAUUGCUAUAGGUAAUCGUUCUUCAUUCAACUAAACCACAUGUGCUCUGUUAGUUACUGUCUGUGUGCAAAUCGUAAGUGAUUGAGGUUGUAUUAAUAAUUUGAACCGGUGCUUCUCAGCCGAAAUGUGUACCACCUGUUUGAUGAAAUCCCUGAACUAAGUCGGUGUGUAUUUUUUAUUCAGUUCUUGACCAAGAAUUCCUUUGAUUACUAGAUUGUUGAUCUAUUCUGAUCUAUUAUGGUCAUA